GAUGAACGCUAGCGGCAGGCUUAAUACAUGCGAGUCAAGGGGGUAGCAAUACAACCGGCGCACGGGUGAGUAACGCGUACACAACAUACCAUAUACUGGAGUAUAGCUUUGGGAAACUGAAGGUAAUCCUCCAUAACAUUGCGAGAGGGCAUCUGAUUGCAAUUAAAGUUCCGGCGGUAUAUGAUUGGUGUGCGUUUGAUUAGCUAGUUGGUAGGGUAACGGCCUACCAAGGCGACGAUCAAUAGCUGGCGUGAGAGCGCGACCAGCCACACUGGAACUGAGACACGGUCCAGACUCCUACGGGAGGCAGCAGUAGGGAAUAUUGGACAAUGGGCGGAAGCCUGAUCCAGCCAUCCCGCGUGUAGGAAUAAGGCCCUAUGGGUUGUAAACUACUUUAUUAGGUAAGAAAAACUUUAGAUUUAUCAGAGCUUGACGGUACCUAAGGAAUAAGCACCGGCUAACUACCGUGUCAGCAGCCGCGGUAAAGUAGACGUCU
This 496-nucleotide ribosomal RNA is filed under the name uncultured bacterium. Its description in RNAcentral is "bacterial SSU rRNA". It matches the Rfam family "Bacterial small subunit ribosomal RNA", at positions 28 to 536 of the family's 1533-position model. The record is from RNAcentral.